RNAcentral lists this long non-coding RNA (610 nucleotides) under Equus caballus (horse). RNAcentral's name for it is "lncRNA (ENSECAG00000058117.1)". Lineage: Eukaryota; Metazoa; Chordata; Mammalia; Perissodactyla; Equidae. The record is from RNAcentral.
GUGGGGAUAGCAGUUCUUGGAAGGGUUUGCUCUCUUUUAAGAAAUGAAGACAGAGUCUGUAUUGUUCCUCGGGAAGUUGUUGUCUCUGGAUGUAAAGCCUCGAAUUUCAGCAGUAAUCUUUCCCUGGUCUGAGGUUGAGGCCAGAACCAGGACAAUAGAUUUUUCAUUAGGAGAUUCACCAACUUCUACUUCUGGACCUUCUUUUUUCUGAUACAUUUUCUUAUUCUCUUAUAGGCAACUUGUGUCAAGUUCUGAUUCUUGCAGCCAAAACCAUCGUUUCUGAGAUAGGGAGGUUUCCUUGAAAAUGAUGAAAGAAAGAACACCUGUGGGAAACUGAGGUUGCAGGGCAAAACUCCACCCUGAAAUCUGGAGAGACAGGCAAAUCAAGAGAGACCCAGCAGAGAUCUGUUUACCUGGAGCAGAAAUUGCUGGAACCAUGAACUGCCUUUCUUUCCACUAAAAGUGCACAUCUCUGUCUUCCAAUGAUGGAACCACUUGUCUGUCUGACUCCCUCUUCCAUCCGGAAAUGAUUUCAGAAGGAUUAUCACUCCCUGAAGAACUGUAGUGGUUGGUGAGAAUACUAACAGGAAGAACAUAAUCAAGGCUAUUC